This 253-nucleotide ribosomal RNA is filed under the name uncultured bacterium. RNAcentral describes it as "partial 16S ribosomal RNA". It matches the Rfam family "Bacterial small subunit ribosomal RNA", at positions 524 to 776 of the family's 1533-position model. The record is from RNAcentral.
UACGUAGGUGGCAAGCGUUGUCCGGAUUUACUGGGCGUAAAGGGCGUGCAGGCGGUUUGUUAAGUGCAGAGUGAAAGCUCCCGGCUCAACUGGGAGAGGUCUUUGCAUACUGGCAAACUCGAGGGAGGCAGAGGAAAGUGGAAUUCCCGGUGUAGUGGUGAAAUGCGUAGAUAUCGGGAGGAACACCAGUGGCGAAGGCGGCUUCCUGGCCUGUUCUUGACGCUGAGGCGCGAAAGCUAGGGGAGCAAACGGG